RNAcentral lists this ribosomal RNA (651 nucleotides) under uncultured bacterium. RNAcentral's name for it is "bacterial SSU rRNA". It matches the Rfam family "Bacterial small subunit ribosomal RNA", at positions 62 to 703 of the family's 1533-position model. The record is from RNAcentral.
UCGAGGGGCAUCGGGAUUGAAGCUUGCUUCAAUUGCCGGCGACCGGCGCACGGGUGCGUAACGCGUAUGUAACCUACCUAUAACAGGGGCAUAACACUGAGAAAUUGGUACUAAUUCCCCAUAAUAUUCGGAGAGGCAUCUCUCCGGGUUGAAAACUCCGGUGGUUAUAGAUGGACAUGCGUUGUAUUAGCUAGUUGGUGAGGUAACGGCUCACCAAGGCAACGAUACAUAGGGGGACUGAGAGGUUAACCCCCCACACUGGUACUGAGACACGGACCAGACUCCUACGGGAGGCAGCAGUGAGGAAUAUUGGUCAAUGGACGCAAGUCUGAACCAGCCAUGCCGCGUGCAGGAAGACGGCUCUAUGAGUUGUAAACUGCUUUUGUACGAGGGUAAACUCACCUACGUGUAGGUGACUGAAAGUAUCGUACGAAUAAGGAUCGGCUAACUCCGUGCCAGCAGCCGCGGUAAUACGGAGGAUUCAAGCGUUAUCCGGAUUUAUUGGGUUUAAAGGGUGCGUAGGCGGUUUGAUAAGUUAGAGGUGAAAUCCCGGGGCUUAACUCCGGAACUGCCUCUAAUACUGUUAGACUAGAGAGUAGUUGCGGUAGGCGGAAUGUAUGGUGUAGCGGUGAAAUGCUUAGAGAUCAUACA